RNAcentral lists this ribosomal RNA (258 nucleotides) under uncultured bacterium. Its description in RNAcentral is "partial 16S ribosomal RNA". It matches the Rfam family "Bacterial small subunit ribosomal RNA", at positions 81 to 334 of the family's 1533-position model. The record is from RNAcentral.
CUGGGUUGGGAUGAGUGGCGAACGGGUGAGUAACACGUGAGUAACCUGCCCCCUUCCUUUGGGAUAACGGUCGGAAACGGCUGCUAAUACCGGGUAUUCACUGUCCUUCGCAUGGGGGGUGGGUGGAAAGGUUUUUUCUUGGUGGGGGAUGGGCUCGCGGCCUAUCAGCUUGUUGGUGGGGUGAUGGCUUACCAAGGCUUUGACGGGUAACCGGCCUGAGAGGGUGACCGGUCACAUUGGGACUGAGAUACGGCCCAG